GACAGAGGGUGCAACCGUUGCUCGGAAUCACUGGGCGUCAAGGGCGUGUAGGCGGGCAGGUAAGUCGGGCGUGAAAUCCCUGGGCUCAACCCAGGAACUGCACUCGAAACUACUUUUCUUGAGUGCCGGAGAGGAAAGCGGAAUUCCUGGUGUAGAGGUGAAAUUCGUAGAUAUCAGGAGGAACACCAGUGGCGAAGGCGGCUUUCUGGACGGUAACUGACGCUGAGACGCGAAAGCGUGGGGAGCAAACAGG
RNAcentral lists this ribosomal RNA (253 nucleotides) under uncultured bacterium. RNAcentral's name for it is "partial 16S ribosomal RNA". It matches the Rfam family "Bacterial small subunit ribosomal RNA", at positions 524 to 776 of the family's 1533-position model. The record is from RNAcentral.